GACGAACGCUGGCGGCGUGCUUAACACAUGCAAGUCGAACGAUGAAGAAGAGAAACGCGAACUUCGGUUCAAAUUUCACUUCGGAUUAGUGGCAGACGGGUGAGUAACGCGUGAGCAACCUACCUCUUACAAAGGGAUAGCCUCGGGAAACCGUGAUUAAUACCAUAUGACACAUUCAUAAGGCAUCUUAAGAAUGUUAAAGCUAGGGCGGUAAGAGAUGGGCUCGCGUCCCAUUAGCUAGUUGGUGAGGUAACGGCCCACCAAAGCGACGAUGGGUAACCGGGCUGAGAGAGUGAGCGGUGACAUUUGAACGAAGACACGGUCGGAACUCCUACGGGAGGCAGCAGUGGGGAAUGGUGCACAGUGGAGGGAGCUCUGAUGCAGCGACGCCGCGUGAGCGAUGAAAGAAUUCAUUACGUAAAGCGCUGUUCUAUGGGAAGAAAAUGACGGUACCAUAUGAGAAAGCCCCGGCUAAAUACGUG
RNAcentral lists this ribosomal RNA (482 nucleotides) under uncultured bacterium. RNAcentral's name for it is "partial 16S ribosomal RNA". It matches the Rfam family "Bacterial small subunit ribosomal RNA", at positions 28 to 507 of the family's 1533-position model. The record is from RNAcentral.